CGGGAGGCAGCAGUGGGGAAUAUUGGACAAUGGGGGCAACCCUGAUCCAGCCAUGCCGCGUGUGUGAAGAAGGCCUUAUGGUUGUAAAGCACUUUAAGCGAGGAGGAGGCUACUUUGGUUAAUACCCAGAGAUAGUGGACGUUACUCGCAGAAUAAGCACCGGCUAACUCUGUGCCAGCAGCCGCGGUAAUACAGAGGGUGCGAGCGUUAAUCGGAUUUACUGGGCGUAAAGCGUGGGUAGGCGGCUUUUUAAGUCGGAUGUGAAAUCCCCGAGCUUAACCUGGGAAUUGCAUUCGAUACUGGGAAGCUAGAGUAUGGGAGAGGAUGGUAGAAUUCCAGGUGUAGCGGUGAAAUGCGUAGAGAUUUGGAGGAAUACCGAUGGCGAAGGCAGCCAUCUGGCCUAAUACUGACGCUGAGGCACGAAAGCAUGGGGAGCAAACAGGAUUAGAUACCCUGGUAGUCCAUGCCGUAAACGAUGUUUACUAGCCGUUGGGGCCUUGAGGCUUUAGUGGCGCAGCUAACGCGAUAAGUAGAC
RNAcentral lists this ribosomal RNA (535 nucleotides) under uncultured Gammaproteobacteria bacterium. RNAcentral describes it as "bacterial SSU rRNA". It matches the Rfam family "Bacterial small subunit ribosomal RNA", at positions 342 to 869 of the family's 1533-position model. The record is from RNAcentral. Lineage: Bacteria; Pseudomonadati; Pseudomonadota; Gammaproteobacteria.